UGAAACCGUGUACGUACAAGCAGUGGGAGCACGCUUAGGCGUGUGACUGCGUACCUUUUGUAUAAUGGGUCAGCGACUUAUAUUCUGUAGCAAGGUUAACCGAAUAGGGGAGCCGAAGGGAAACCGAGUCUUAACUGGGCGUUAAGUUGCAGGGUAUAGACCCGAAACCCGGUGAUCUAGCCAUGGGCAGGUUGAAGGUUGGGUAACACUAACUGGAGGACCGAACCGACUAAUGUUGAAAAAUUAGCGGAUGACUUGUGGCUGGGGGUGAAAGGCCAAUCAAACCGGGAGAUAGCUGGUUCUCCCCGAAAGCUAUUUAGGUAGCGCCUCGUGAAUUCAUCUCCGGGGGUAGAGCACUGUUUCGGCAAGGGGGUCAUCCCGACUUACCAACCCGAUGCAAACUGCGAAUACCGGAGAAUGUUAUCACGGGAGACACACGGCGGGUGCUAACGUCCGUCGUGAAGAGGGAAACAACCCAGACCGCCAGCUAAGGUCCCAAAGUCAUGGUUAAGUGGGAAACGAUGUGGGAAGGCCCAGACAGCCAGGAUGUUGGCUUAGAAGCAGCCAUCAUUUAAAGAAAGCGUAAUAGCUCACUGGUCGAGUCGGCCUGCGCGGAAGAUGUAACGGGGCUAAACCAUGCAC
This 642-nucleotide ribosomal RNA is filed under the name Escherichia coli. RNAcentral's name for it is "partial 23S ribosomal RNA". It matches the Rfam family "Bacterial large subunit ribosomal RNA", at positions 551 to 1194 of the family's 2925-position model. Lineage: Bacteria; Pseudomonadati; Pseudomonadota; Gammaproteobacteria; Enterobacterales; Enterobacteriaceae. The record is from RNAcentral.